AGCAGCCGCGGUAAUUCCAGCUCCAAUAGCGUAUAUUAAAGUUGUUGCAGUUAAAAAGCUCGUAGUUGAAUUUCGGGGUCAGUAGGUUGGUCGUGCCACCGGUACGUACUGGUCUCACUGAUUCCUCCUUCCUGAAGAACCGUAAUGCCAUUAAUUUGGUGUUGCGGGGAAACAGGACUGUUACUUUGAAAAAAUUAGAGUGUUUAAAGCAGGCUAACGCUUGAAUACAUUAGCAUGGAAUAAUGAAAUAGGACGAUCGAUCCUAUUUUGUUGGUUUCUAGGAUUGACGUAAUGAUUAAUAGGGAUAGUUGGGGGCAUUAGUAUUCAAUUGUCAGAGGUGAAAUUCUUGGAUUUAUUGAAGACUAACUACUGCGAAAGCAUUUGCCAAGGAUGUUUUCAUUAAUCAAGAACGAAAGUUAGGGGAUCGAAGACGAUCAGAUACCGUCGUAGUCUUAACCAUAAACUAUGCCGACUAGGGAUCGGAUGAUGUUAAUUUUAUAAUGACUCAAUUCGGCGCCUU
RNAcentral lists this ribosomal RNA (520 nucleotides) under uncultured Glomus. RNAcentral's name for it is "SSU rRNA". It matches the Rfam family "Eukaryotic small subunit ribosomal RNA", at positions 569 to 1089 of the family's 1831-position model. Lineage: Eukaryota; Fungi; Glomeromycota; Glomeromycetes; Glomerales; Glomeraceae. The record is from RNAcentral.